Molecule: long non-coding RNA, 325 nt
Organism: Colius striatus (speckled mousebird)
Lineage: Eukaryota; Metazoa; Chordata; Aves; Coliiformes; Coliidae
Exons: 3
Source: RefSeq, a predicted model, not a curated record
AGAUGGCACACAGACUACUUCAUGACAGAGGUGACACUGCAAUUUCCCUCGUCUUGCCAGGUCCUAAGAAACUGAUUAGGUUCUGGAGCUACAACAGCUGGAAGUAGUGGCUUUUUAUUAUUAAUUUUAAAAAGGAUUUAAGAGGCCAUAACCCUUUGCACUCCCCAAGAGAAAAAAAAACGAAGUCAACACCACUCCCCAGGAGACAAUUCCCAUAAGGUUCACAGUGACUUCUUCCCCAGCAGUAUUCAAGAGGCAGAGGCCAAUUCUCAAAAGCAGAAAUGUUACGUCUUAUUUCCCCUUCCCUGUUGCCAUGUUGUUUUCA